AAAAAAAAAGUGUAACUCUAAGUUAUAAGAACUGCAACCAAAAGCAAAAGGCUGACAAUAACUGGCUCACUUUAAGAGAAUGGUUUUGAGUCUUCUUCAUUAAUAUACUUUGGAGACCCACAGUUAUAACUUUAAUGCCCAAAUUUCAAUAGUAUCCAAAAUAAUCUCUGAGCUAGCCUUAGGAUGUUUCUUAGCUAAGCGUUAUUAGUUUGGCUGGCUCACUCUUGGACAGAAAAAAAACAUAUUUAUGGUACUCCAAAUGUAGAAAAACCCAUGGCUUUUAUUUAAUACAUUUACAGUUUCUUGAGAUUACAAAACAUUUCACAGUUUCUAUCUGUAUGUAUAUUUAAAUUUCCUCUAAAUAUCUGAAAUCACACCAUCAGAAUCUAAGUUAGAUGAGAGCAGGAACCCUGACUAUUUCACUCACGUGUGUAGAGCCAAUGUCCCGUCUCCAGAGUAAAGAUUGGAUGGAAUGCAGAAUAUUGAAAUGGAAGGCAGAAUAUUGAAAUGGAAUGCAGAAUAUUGAAAUGGAAUGUAGAAUAUUGAAUGAAUCAAUCAAAGACUUUAACACUUCCAGCUACAGGCAGCUCAUUAUGGCUCAAAGCAGCCAGGCCUCAGAGUUCUUUUUUACAAUGAUUGGACUGUCAUCUCUUCCCACUUGUUUGUUCCAGUUUUAGCUCGUCAGGUUGACUUAUUUGGAGGUUCAAGAUAAUUGACCACUAAGUCUGGUUCUGGAGAAGUUGGGUUUCCACAUGCCUUACAGUACAAGUGUGGCAAUUCAGGAGGUGAUCUAGAAGCAAGGUGUCCUUGCUCACGGAAGAAUGACAGCGGGAGAGAAGAUCGAAAUCACUGCCCAGGUUAAUAAAGCAAUAUGUGAGAUGACAGUCCAAGUUAGAAACCAGCCAAAGCUUGGAACGUGCUUCCUUGGGGAUUUCAUGUUCAUAUCAAUGACUGAUUUGGAAUUCGGAUUUGCCUUUGAAUGUUGGAGAGCAUGGAAUCAUGCAAGGAUCAGCAGACAGAUCCUGGGUGGUGAUCCGUGAUGUCCAGCUACACAAAAGAAAUGAAUGUCUUUUUUUCCCAAAAGAUGAUGUAUUACAAGAGUCACUACUAAAUCAGCAUCUACGUCAACCAAAUACAACCUCUAAAAGAAAAACAAAUAGGAUGAUAUUAAUCCUGGAGAGUUUUAUUUUGUUUAUAAUUUGGGAUAAUUAAGCUUUGAAGUUUCAUGUUUACUCUUUGAGGAAAGUGUGUCUGGGCUUUACCUCAUUUCCUCCAACCCUCUCUCCCUCUCUGCUCCAGAGACCCAGUGUUCUUUCAGCAACUUGAAAUGUGUUUUCUCUUCCACAGAGAAUAGCAAAUGCUAUUUCUACAAAUGGGAUUCUACCUCUCCCUCUCCCUCUCUUCCAGUCUCAUGUUCUGUUUCAUUUCCUCAGGGACUGCUGCUUUACGACUCCAUGGACUGGGUUGCACCCCCCAUUGCUCCCUCUGCCUUCUACUCUACUUUCCCAGUAUUCAAGACACUCAGAAUCCUCUUUAAUGCCUGUCUUUUUCUGAUUAUAAGCAACAUAAGAACCUGCCACACUGGUUUUAUUCACCAAUGGAUCUCUAGUGCCUUAUUACACAAUAAAUACUUUUUGACUAAGUAUUGUUUGAGGAAAAUGUUAUUUCCGGCACAGAGAAAAUAAUAGCAGAGGCAU
RNAcentral lists this long non-coding RNA (1697 nucleotides) under Homo sapiens (human). RNAcentral describes it as "HSALNT0329298". Lineage: Eukaryota; Metazoa; Chordata; Mammalia; Primates; Hominidae. The record is from RNAcentral.